Molecule: long non-coding RNA, 501 nt
Organism: Dreissena polymorpha
Lineage: Eukaryota; Metazoa; Mollusca; Bivalvia; Myida; Dreissenidae
Exons: 4
Source: RefSeq, a predicted model, not a curated record
GUGAAAGUAAGUUGGAAAAAUGGAGUUUCGAGCGAACAAACGCAUUAAACUAAGUAGCCAAAAGGGUCCAAGUCCCCUUGAUCUCGCAAGAACGUACUGCCAGAAUUACGUUGAUCCACCAGGUUUUGAAGUAAAAACCGUCAAUGAUGUCAUAGGCGAAGGAGUCUUCGCCACUAAGCCUUUUAAAAAACGGAGACUCUCUUCUCGAAUACAAAGGGGAUCUGAUAACACGAGCAAAACGGCAAUUAGAAAAGGAGUAUGAAAAGGAGGGUCAUGACAGCUUCAUUUACUUUUUUAAAUACAGAGACAAAUCUUGAUGCAUUGACGCUACCAACGAUAUAUUUCAUGAGGGUCAAAUGAUAAAUGAUGCCGAAAAUGGAGACGCAAAACAAAUUUGUGUAAUGAAAAUAGUUGAAGUCAACCAAACUCCCCACCUAUGCACUUUCGCCGACAGAGACAUUGUAAUUGGCGAGGAACUCCGAUAUGAUUAUGGAGUACCAA